UACGUAGGGGGCAAGCGUUGUCCGGAUUUAUUGGGCGUAAAGAGCGUGUAGGCGGUUCGGUAGGUCCGUUGUGAAAACUCGAGCUCAACCUCGAGACGCCGAUGGAAACCCUCGAACUAGAGUCCGGAAGAGGAGAGUGGAAUUCCUGGUGUAGCGGUGAAAUGCGCAGAUACCAGGAAGAACACCCGUGGCUAAGGCGGCUCUCUAGUACGGUACUGACGCUGAGACGCGAAAGCGUGGGGAGCGAACAGG
Molecule: ribosomal RNA, 252 nt
Filed under: uncultured bacterium
Lineage: Bacteria
Description: partial 16S ribosomal RNA
Rfam family: Bacterial small subunit ribosomal RNA
Source: RNAcentral